CCUACGGGUGGCAGCAGUGGGGAAUAUUGGACAAUGGGCGAAAGCCUGAUCCAGCCAUGCCGCGUGUGUGAAGAAGGCCUUCGGGUUGUAAAGCACUUUCAGUGGGGAAGAAAGCCUUGGGGCUAAUACCCUCGAGGAAGGACAUCACCCACAGAAGAAGCACCGGCUAACUCCGUGCCAGCAGCCGCGGUAAUACGGAGGGUGCGAGCGUUAAUCGGAAUUACUGGGCGUAAAGCGCGCGUAGGCGGUCUGAUAAGCCGGUUGUGAAAGCCCCGGGCUCAACCUGGGAACAGCAUCCGGAACUGUCAGGCUAGAGUGCAGGAGAGGAAGGUAGAAUUCCCGGUGUAGCGGUGAAAUGCGUAGAGAUCGGGAGGAAUACCAGUGGCGAAGGCGGCCUUCUGGACUGACACUGACGCUGAGGUGCGAAAGCGUGGGUAGCAAACAGGAUUAGAUACCCGAGUAGUC
Molecule: ribosomal RNA, 465 nt
Filed under: Vreelandella stevensii
Lineage: Bacteria; Pseudomonadati; Pseudomonadota; Gammaproteobacteria; Oceanospirillales; Halomonadaceae
Description: partial 16S ribosomal RNA
Rfam family: Bacterial small subunit ribosomal RNA
Source: RNAcentral